AUACGGAGGGUGCAAGCGUUACUCGGAAUCACUGGGCGUAAAGCGCGCGCAGGCGGGCUGAUAAGUUGGAUGUGAAAGCCUACGGCUCAACCGUAGAACUGCAUCCAAAACUGUCAGUCUAGAGUGUGGGAGGGGAAGAUGGAAUUAGUUGUGUAGGGGUAAAAUCCGUAGAGAUAACUAGGAAUACCAAAAGCGAAGGCAAUCUUCUGGAACACUACUGACGCUGAGGCGCGAAGGCGUGGGGAGCAAACAGGAUUAGAAACCCCAGUAGUCC
RNAcentral lists this ribosomal RNA (274 nucleotides) under uncultured bacterium. RNAcentral's name for it is "partial 16S ribosomal RNA". It matches the Rfam family "Bacterial small subunit ribosomal RNA", at positions 523 to 796 of the family's 1533-position model. The record is from RNAcentral.